CGUCAUAGGAGACUGCCGGGGUCAACUCGGAGGAAGGUGGGGAGUGACGUCAAAUCAUCAUGCCCCUUAUGUCUUGGGCUUCACGCAUGCUACAAUGGCCGGUACAAAGGGCUGCAAUACCGCAAGGUGGAGCGAAUCCCAAAAAGCCGGUCUCAGUUCGGAUCGAAGUCUGCAACUCGACUUCGUGAAGCUGGAUUCGCUAGUAAUCGCGCAUCAGCCAUGGCGCGGUGAAUACGUUCCCGGGCCUU
RNAcentral lists this ribosomal RNA (248 nucleotides) under uncultured Leifsonia sp. RNAcentral describes it as "partial 16S ribosomal RNA". It matches the Rfam family "Bacterial small subunit ribosomal RNA", at positions 1137 to 1382 of the family's 1533-position model. Lineage: Bacteria; Bacillati; Actinomycetota; Actinomycetes; Micrococcales; Microbacteriaceae. The record is from RNAcentral.